RNAcentral lists this ribosomal RNA (445 nucleotides) under uncultured bacterium. RNAcentral's name for it is "partial 16S ribosomal RNA". It matches the Rfam family "Bacterial small subunit ribosomal RNA", at positions 354 to 796 of the family's 1533-position model. The record is from RNAcentral.
GUGAGGAAUAUUGCGCAAUGGAGGCAACUCUGACGCAGCCAUGCCGCGUGCAGGAAGAAGGCGCUACGCGUUGUAAACUGCUUUUAACCGGGAAGAAACCCCAGGACGUGUCCUGGGUUGACGGUACCGGAGGAAUAAGCACCGGCUAACUUCGUGCCAGCAGCCGCGGUAAUACGAAGGGUGCAAGCGUGAUCCGGAUUCAUUGGGCUUAAAGGGUGCGUAGGCGGAGCGUUAAGUCAGUGGUGAAAUCCUGCAGCUUAACUGUAGACUUGCCAUGGAUACUGGCGCUCUUGAGUGCGCUUGAAGUGGGCGGAAUGUGCCGUGUAGCGGUGAAAUGCUUAGAUAUGGCACAGAACACCAAUUGCGAAGGCAGCUCACUAAGGCGAUACUGACGCUGAGGCACGACAGCGUGGGGAUCGAACAGGAUUAGAAACCCGUGUAGUCC